This 1074-nucleotide long non-coding RNA is filed under the name Cyanistes caeruleus (blue tit). Its description in RNAcentral is "lncRNA (ENSCCEG00000000845.1)". The record is from RNAcentral. Lineage: Eukaryota; Metazoa; Chordata; Aves; Passeriformes; Paridae.
AGUGGUUAUCACAGUUGCGAUCUGCAGUCAGUCAGUUUGGAGUGACCAGUGAACCGGUUAGACAGAUUAUCUGUGGGGUACACAGAUUUUGUUGCCUGCAGAUUGUAGGAGCAUUAUGAAGUUGAUUCUUACUAAGCAUCAGCAGUUGUUGUUUAAUGCGCACUGGCAAGAUUAUUGUCAAGAAAGUGUAAAUGUGCAAAGGCAGGCAGGUGAUCCACUGCAUAGAUUAACUUUGGAAGAACUUCUGGGAUUAGGAGCAUAUAGUCAAGUGGAGGCACAAGCUGUUUUGGGACCAGAUAAAUUGAAAGAAGGAAUGCGAUUGGCACGAGCUGCGUUUGAUCGGAUUAAGGAGCCAGGAGGAAUUCCAUCUUAUAUGGGUAUUAAACAGGGGCGAGAUGAGUCAUUUGGAGCAUUUAUUGAUAAAGCGGCUACAGCUAUAGAACGGGCAGGUGUUCCUGAAUAUAUGAGGGGAGCAUUAUUAAAACAAUGUGCCUUACAAAAUUGUAAUCCAGCAACCAAGUCAAUUUUAAAUUCCCUAAGUGCUAAUUGGACUAUUGAGGAGGCAUUAGAGAGAAUGUCUAAUAUACCAGUGGGUUCACAGGCAAUGUUCGUCCAAGCAAUUAAAGAACUAGGGCAAGGGUUAGAAAAGCAGGCUGCAUCUACUCAGAGUCAGGUUUUAGCAGCUCUUGCACCCCUACAAGUGGCUACAACUAACAAUGGCAGGAUUCCAGCCUCUCGAUUCAAAUGUUUUCGCUGUGGCAACCUUGGACAUAUUCAAAAGGAAUGUACUGUAUUGUCUGUUUGGUGCAAUCAGUGUCGGUCCAAUACCCACGCUGAUAAUGUCUGCCGCUGGCGAUCGGGAAAUGGGAAAGCCAGCGUGAGAAGCCGCCGCGCCAGGACACAAAUAGCAGCUGCUGGAACAUCAGUGCAACUUCCCUCCAGCCUGCUACAGCAGGAAGCCUCGGUCUGGACCUGGCAGCCUCAGUGACUGUGGAUUUAUUGACAUCACAGCCCUACAAGAUUCCCACGGGAAUUAUUGGACCACUGAUAAUAAAUGGAAAAGCUAUGGGUGCA